This 497-nucleotide ribosomal RNA is filed under the name uncultured bacterium. Its description in RNAcentral is "partial 16S ribosomal RNA". It matches the Rfam family "Bacterial small subunit ribosomal RNA", at positions 28 to 507 of the family's 1533-position model. The record is from RNAcentral.
GAUGAACGCUGGCGGCGUGCCUAAUACAUGCAAGUCGAGCGAACAGACGAGGAGCUUGCUCCUCUGACGUUAGCGGCGAACGGGUGAGUAACACGUGGGUAACCUACCUAUAAGACUGGGAUAACUUCGGGAAACCGGAGCUAAUACCGGAUAAUAUAUUGAACCGCAUGGUUCAAUAGUGAAAGACGGUUUUGCUGUCACUUAUAGAUGGAUCCGCGCCGCAUUAGCUAGUUGGUAAGGUAACGGCAUACCAAGGCAACGGUGCGUAGCCGCCCUGAGAGGGUGAUCGGCCACACUGGAACUGAGACACGGUCGAGACUCCGACGGGAGGCAGCAGUAGGGAAUCUUCCGCAAAGGGCGAAAGCCUGACGGAGCAACGCCGCGUGAGUGAUGAAGGUCUUCGGAUCGGAAAACUCUGUUAUUAGGGAAGAACAAAUGUGUAAGUAACUAUGCACGUCUUGACGGUACCUAAUCAGAAAGCCACGGCUAACUACGUG